UGGUAGAGCAGUUGACUUUUAAUCAAUUGGUCGCAGGUUCGAAUCCUGCACGACC
Molecule: transfer RNA, 55 nt
Filed under: Escherichia coli
Lineage: Bacteria; Pseudomonadati; Pseudomonadota; Gammaproteobacteria; Enterobacterales; Enterobacteriaceae
Description: tRNA-Ser
Rfam family: tRNA (bases 1-49)
About the family: Transfer RNA (tRNA) molecules are approximately 80 nucleotides in length. Their secondary structure includes four short double-helical elements and three loops (D, anti-codon, and T loops).
Source: RNAcentral